This 468-nucleotide ribosomal RNA is filed under the name uncultured bacterium. Its description in RNAcentral is "partial 16S ribosomal RNA". It matches the Rfam family "Bacterial small subunit ribosomal RNA", at positions 28 to 507 of the family's 1533-position model. The record is from RNAcentral.
GACGAACGCUGGCGGCGUGCCUAACACAUGCAAGUCGAACGGAAAGGUCGGGCUUUGGUGCGGUGGUCGAGUGGCGAACGGGUGAGUAACACGUUGGUAACCUGCCCCUCAGUUUGGGAUAACUUCAGGAAACUGGUGCUAAUACCGGAUAGGAGCUCUUGCUGCAUGAUGGGGGUUGGAAAGAUUCGCUGGUUGGGGAUGGACUCGCGGCUGAUCAGCAUGAUGGUGGGGUAGUGGAAUAGCAAGGCCAUGCCGGGUAGCCUUCCUGGGAGGGUGACAGGCCACAUUGGACCUGGGAUGAGGCCCAGACUCCAACGGGAGGCAGCGGUGGAGAAUAGAGCACAGUGCGCGGGGGCAUGGUGCAACGACGCCGCGUCGGGGAUAUCAGGCUUCUGGUAGGAACGCGCUUUUGUCUGUGACGAAGCGAUAGUGACGGUAACGGGUGAAGAAGCACCGGCUAACUACGUG